RNAcentral lists this ribosomal RNA (301 nucleotides) under uncultured bacterium. Its description in RNAcentral is "partial 16S ribosomal RNA". It matches the Rfam family "Bacterial small subunit ribosomal RNA", at positions 509 to 807 of the family's 1533-position model. The record is from RNAcentral.
CAGUAGCCGCGGGAAUACGUAGGGUGCAAGCGUUAAUCGGAAUUACUGGGCGUAAAGCGUGCGCAGGCGGUUAUAUAUGUCAGAUGUGAAAUCCCCGGGCUCAACCUGGGAACUGCAUUUGAGACUGUAUGGCUAGAGUGUGCCAGAGGGGGGUAGAAUUCCACGUGUAGCAGUGAAAUGCGUAGAUAUGUGGAGGAAUACCGAUGGCGAAGGCAGCCCCCUGGGAUAACACUGACGCUCAUGCACGAAAGCGUGGGGAGCGAACAGGAUUAGAUACCCCAGUAGUCCCUGUCUCUUAUAC